AUUGAACGCUGGCGGCAUGCUUUACACAUGCAAGUCGAACGGCAGCGCGGGCUUCGGCCUGGCGGCGAGUGGCGAACGGGUGAGUAAUACAUCGGAACGUGCCCAGUAGUGGGGGAUAGCUCGGCGAAAGCCGGAUUAAUACCGCAUACGACCUGAGGGUGAAAGCGGGGGAUCUUCGGACCUCGCGCUAUUGGAGCGGCCGAUGGCAGAUUAGCUAGUUGGUGGGGUAAAGGCCUACCAAGGCGACGAUCUGUAGCUGGUCUGAGAGGACGACCAGCCACACUGGGACUGAGGCACGGCCCAGACUCCUACGGGAGGCAGCAGUGGGGAAUUUUGGACAAUGGGCGAAAGCCUGAUCCAGCAAUGCCGCGUGUGUGAUGAAGGCCUUCGGGUUGUAAAGCACUUUUGGCGGGAACGAAAAGGACUGUGCCAAUACCACGGUUCGAUGACGGUACCCGCAGAAUAAGCACCGGCUAACUACGU
Molecule: ribosomal RNA, 483 nt
Filed under: uncultured bacterium
Lineage: Bacteria
Description: partial 16S ribosomal RNA
Rfam family: Bacterial small subunit ribosomal RNA
Source: RNAcentral